Molecule: long non-coding RNA, 1031 nt
Organism: Tyto alba (common barn owl)
Lineage: Eukaryota; Metazoa; Chordata; Aves; Strigiformes; Tytonidae
Exons: 4
Source: RefSeq, a predicted model, not a curated record
UGGUGCCUGAGGGAAAUGGCGGCUGCCGCCCCGGCUUCGGGCUCUGCGGGGCGGGUGCGCCGCUUCCCCCUCGCUCCUUACUGCCGUGGGUCUGCUGGAGUUUGGCAGAGCCUCCCCUCGCUUCCAAGCUCUGGGCGGCGCCAUCGUGAGCGUGGUUGUGUGGGGAGCGGGGUGAGGCGGCGCUGCCGGAGCUGGGCCGCGGCCGCCGUGUUGCGCGGUGGCAGCUGUGGGCGCCCUUUGGUUGUUGCCGGGGUUUUGGAGAAGUGGCGUGGUUCCCCGUCGGCUGAGAACUGCUGCUCGCAGUGCACCUUCGGGGUGGGGUUUGGGAGCUCUGCGUCAGAGCUCGGGAAGUUCAAAGCAGGAAGUUGGGUACAAGUCCUGAAUAUGGGUGUUGGGACUCCAUGCUGGUAGCUCUGCAGUCACUCCAUGCUGUUUACAAGUUGUAUCUCUUUCUGUGCUUCCCAAUUCAGUUUGGAAGUGAGGGGACUGAAGAAGAAUUAGUUUUAGACACAAGAGAUUCCGUCCUCAUCACCUUGUAAAAUUCAACAUUUAACAAGAUAAACUAGUUUUGAAAAUAAGAUUGUACUUGUGCCAAUACGCAGACAGAUUGACUUGAAGACUGCACCUUGACACUGGAACUCCUGGGAGGAAUGCAUCAUAUUAACUGAACAACCAGGCAUCCCUAAAGUCCAGAUAUCCGUUGUCUGGAAGGAAGCAUAUCUUCAUCUUUAAAUUAACAGGUGCAUUUCACCUUCUUCAUUUAUUCUUGGCUUUAUAAGGGCACAUUUCUUUUCUGCUGGUUUUCAUGAGAGCAGCUGCUUUUGUUAUUCAUGGACUAAUUUCCACAAAAUGUCUACAGUUUAUCAGUUAAUAAGGAGUCUUACGUUUUAUCAGAAAUUAAACAUCAAUGCUAGGCAUUAUUUUAAUCUCCAGUGCUGAACAAAAGCUAUGUGGCCAUUUUUGAAUCAAGUACAGUAAACAACUGUCGUUAGCUACCCUCUUCUAUGGAAAUAAUAAUCUACCUCACCACA